Molecule: small nuclear RNA, 162 nt
Organism: Apteryx haastii (Great spotted kiwi)
Lineage: Eukaryota; Metazoa; Chordata; Aves; Apterygiformes; Apterygidae
Gene: U1
Rfam family: U1 spliceosomal RNA
About the family: U1 is a small nuclear RNA (snRNA) component of the spliceosome (involved in pre-mRNA splicing). Its 5' end forms complementary base pairs with the 5' splice junction, thus defining the 5' donor site of an intron. There are significant differences in sequence and secondary structure between metazoan and yeast U1 snRNAs, the latter being much longer (568 nucleotides as compared to 164 nucleotides in human).
Source: Ensembl
AUACUUAUCUGGCAGGGGAGACACCAUGAUCAGACAGGUGGUUUUCCCAGGGCAAGGCUCAUCCCUUGCACUCGGUGUGCUGACCCCUGCGAUUUCCCCAAAUGUGGGAAACUCGACUGCAUAACUUGUGGUAGUGGGGGACUGUGUUUGUGCUCUCCCCUA